This 4501-nucleotide long non-coding RNA is filed under the name Aquilegia coerulea. Its description in RNAcentral is "long non-coding RNA (ACOE_LNC002125)". The record is from RNAcentral. Lineage: Eukaryota; Viridiplantae; Streptophyta; Magnoliopsida; Ranunculales; Ranunculaceae.
CUGAGAUUGAUCCAUAUGACUUGAAAGGCAGGGCACCGUCAACUGUCAAAGGAAAGAUCGAGUUCAAAGCUGUUAGCUUUGCAUAUCCAUCCAGACCCAAUGUUCAAAUUCUACACUCACUCAAUCUAGUGGUUCAACCUUUCAAGACUCUGGCAUUGGUUGGAGCCAGUGGAGGUGGCAAGUCCACUAUUUUUGCUCUCAUAGAGAGGUUUUAUGACCCAAUGAAGGGUAAGCUUCACUUUAUUAUAACCCUCCUCUGUUUUUUAAUUGUCAAUGAUUUCAAGAAUAAUUUUAGAACGCAAGUUAUGCUGGAUCCUACAUAUAAUAAUAUGUAGUGGAGAAGGAUGUGACGGACAAGGUAAUAUAUCUUUAAGUAUGAAUGCUGAAAGAAAAGGGACAGAGAGACUUGAGAACUUACAUUUCAAGAGUUUGUAAAGUGAGAUUCUGGCGAAUGCCCAUGUGAUUGUUGUCAAGCAUUUCUCCUCCGUCUCAAAGAUUUUUCAGCUGACGGGAAUACUUAUCUAUGGGCCCUGUGAGUCUGUGACCAUGUAGCAGGCGUUCAGUGCCGUGGAGGCUUAGGUGCCCCAAACAAGUGGUCUGACAUCUCUUGAUCUUCCAGACCACAUAUUUGCUCAGCCUCUUCCACUUUUGUGCAGCAUUGGUGCCAAUUUGUUUGUCACUCCUGCUGGUACAGAUUCUUUAGGUAUCUACAUAAUCUUACUCCAACCUGAAACUCAGGCCGAGUGGAUUUAAUUAAAUACCAACAGAGUACAAAUGUCCAAAAUUGAAUAUAGAAAAUAAAUAUGCAAAUCAAAGAACAAGUCGAAAAUAAGAGUUCAUCUUGGAAAAUUCUCUCAUAAAAGUAUUUUUAAGUAAGAGUAUUAUGGUUCUGAAGAUGAUGCUUUUACUUGUAAUCGUGUAUUGAACAGGGAUGAUAUGUUUGGAUGGUCAUGAUUUAAAGACCCUUCAGGUGAAGUGGUUGAGGAGUCAGAUAGGCAUGGUAGGCCAAGAACCACUGCUGUUUACCACCACAAUACUUGAGAAUGUGAUGAUGGGGAAAGAAAAUGCCACCAAGAAGGAGGCAAUUGCUGCUUGUAUAGCGGCCAACGCUCACAACUUCAUCUCUAGCCUUCCCCAAGGCUAUGACACUCAGGUGCUACAUUUAGGCUUGUUAGUUAAUACUGUUAUAUACAAUGUUAGGACCUCAUAUAUAGAUUAAGUUGCUUACCUAACAAAAUAAGAACCCCUCAAGAUGCAGGAGGGAAAGAACCCAGGACCUCCUGGUUCACACCAAGUGCCCUGACCAACUUUAUGGUGGUUGCUAGUAGCUCAGAAAGAACUACUACUAAUAAUAAAUAUCUAACUCAUAUCAAGCGUGCUGCUGCUAACCUUAUACAAUGUCAUGUUCAUGAUCAGGUAGGUGAUCGAAGCGUCCAACUUUCUGGAGGACAGAAGCAACGGAUUGCUCUAGCUCGAGCAAUGAUCAAAGAUCCCAGAGUUCUACUUUUGGAUGAGCCAACUAGCGCCUUAGACCCUGAAUCUGAGGCCAUUGUCCAACAAACCAUUGAUAAAAUCUCCACCAAGCGUACAACCCUCGUCAUUGCCCAUAGACUAGCAACUGUCAGAAAUGCUCACACCAUAGUUGUUACCAACCAUGGAACCAUAAUUGAGAUGGGUAAUCACCGUCAACUAAUGGACCAAGCUGGAGCUUACUCUGACCUCGUCAAGCUUGCCUCCCAAACAGUCUCACAACCUAAUCCCAAAACAAAUGUCGACAUGGGGCACUACACCUAUGAGAAUUCAGUUCAUGAUGUUUCGAGGUCAAAGUACAUGCAUGAUGUCUCGAUAUCCAAACACGAAAAAUCCAUGCUAGAUGAAGAGGACGAGGAUGUUGUUGAAGAAUACCAAAAAACACCCAAUAAGAUCCAGCUCUCCAAAGUAUGGAAGUUACAAAGGCCAGAGAUUCCAAUGCUCUUAUUAGGCUUUUUGCUGGGAAUGCAUGCUGGUGCAGUUCUAUCUGUAUUUCCUUAUUUUCUAGGCCUAGCCCUUGAAAUAUAUUUCAAGGAUGAUACUGCGGUGAUGAAAAGGCAAGUUGGGUAUCUUUCUUUAUCCCUUGUGGGAUUAGGCAUUGGCUGCAUUAUAGCAAUGACCGGCCAGCAAGGUUUCUGUGGCUGGGCUGGAACAAAACUCACAACGAGGGUGAGGGAUCUUCUAUUCCAAUCAAUAUUGAAGCAAGAACCAGGUUGGUUUGAUUUUGAAAAAAAUUCAACUGGAGUACUGGUUUCUAGGCUUUCCAUUGACUGUGUUAGCUUUCGGUCUGUCCUUGGAGAUCGUUUUUCAGUUUUACUCAUGGGUAUAAGUUCAGCUUGCGUUGGUCUAAUUAUCUCAGCAUCAUUGAGUUGGAGGCUGACUCUCCUUGCGGCUGCUCUCACUCCCUUCACCCUCGGCGCGAGUUAUUUCAGCUUGAUUAUUAACGUAGGACCUAAGUUAGACAAUAGCUCUUAUGCACGAGCUAGUAGUAUUGCUGCCAAUGCGGUCUCAAAUAUAAGAACUGUGAUGACAUUUUCGGCUCAAGAACAACUAGUUUCAUCUUUCGAUCAAGCCUUGUCAGAACCGAGGAGCAAAUCAAUGAAGAGGUCACAAAUCUUAGGAUUAGCCCUUGGGUUUUCUCAAGGAUCCAUGUAUGGAGCUUACACUCUUACUCUCUGGUUUGGCGCCUACCUAGUAAAGAAAGACCUUGCAAAUUUUGGCGAUGUGUACAAAAUUUUCUUGAUCUUAGUUUUGAGCUCAUUCUCAGUUGGGCAAUUAGCUGGUCUUGCGCCUGACACAUCAAAUGCGCCAUCAGCUGUUCCUGCAGUUCUCGAUAUCAUUAACCGUAAGCCAUUGAUUGAUGGCGAUCAACAGAAGGGAAGGAAGCUAGAUGGUUCAAAACUGUUAAGUAUUGAAUUCAAGAUGGUGACUUUUGCAUAUCCAUCUAGACCUGAAAUCACAGUUUUAAGUGAUUUUUCAUUAAAAGUCAGAGGAGGAACUAUGGUGGCCUUAGUAGGGGGGAGUGGGUCUGGGAAAUCAACUGUGGUAUGGCUAGUUCAGAGGUUCUAUGAUCCAAACCAAGGGAAGAUCAUGAUGGGAGGAAUGGAUUUGAGGGAUAUUAAUCUAAAAUGGUUAAGAAAACAAACAGCUUUGGUUGGACAAGAGCCUGCAUUGUUCGCUGGAACCAUAAGGGAGAAUAUCGCAUUUGGAGACCAAAAUGCUUCUUGGUCUGAGAUUGAAGAAGCUGCACAAGAAGCUUACAUUCACAAAUUCAUAUGCAGUUUGCCUAAAGGGUAUGAAACACAGGUAUGAAAUCAAUUGCAACUACUCGUUUCAUUAUAGUUUGUUCACUUAUUAAAUUCUGGCAUUUACAAUUAAUUCUUUUCAGGUGGGAGAAAGUGGAGUUCAACUAUCAGGUGGCCAAAAGCAAAGGAUAGCAAUAGCAAGAGCGAUUUUAAAGAAAUCCAAGAUACUACUAUUGGAUGAAGCAAGUAGCGCACUAGACAUAGAAUCAGAAAAGCAUGUCCAAGCAGCAUUACGAAAGGUAUCAAAGAGAGCAACCACAAUUGUAGUUGCUCAUAGGCUCUCUACCAUCAGAGAGGCUAAUUGCAUUGCAGUAGUUAAAGAGGGAGCAGUCAUUGAGUUUGGCAGUCAUAAUGAACUCAUGGCCAUGCAUUUAAAUGGCGCGUAUGCUAAUCUAGUUAGAAAAGAAAUGGAAGCUAAUGCACUAAAUUAGAAUCAUUCUUGCUAUGUUACCAUGUAUCAUUCAUGUCAACUGAAAAUCAAACUUCUGUGUAUAUUUCAAUAUUAUCUUGUUUAAUUCAACAGAAUAGUCUGUUUUAACUUAGUGAUACCAUCACCGCCACCUCUACCGACCUCACAAGACCAACCACUGCACCACUACCAUGCCACAUUGUUUGAUUAAUCAUUUCAGUUUCUACAAUCACUCAACUCAACCAAAAAUGCAGCACAGGACAUAGUCCAUAGUCCAAUAAAUGGCCAAAUAUAUUAUAUAAUUGUUUUACUUGAAAUAAAUAUAUGUUGUACAAAAGAAAUAAAGUAUUGAGUGUAUGUACAACUUACCUAGAGGCUAGAGUCCUCGAAAGAACUAGACAAAAGAGCACUCAGGAGUCAUGGUCACCCAAAGGAAUUAAUAUCACACCAACCAUUUCUUCCUCUACCUUCAACAAACUCUUGUGAAAGACACAAGAGUUUCCAUUGUUAUCUUGUGAAAGAUGACAAAAGCAAAGAUUACUGAUAAGAGUGAGAAGAAGAAAAUUGGAAGAUGGGGUUGGUUUAUUGUUGUUGCUAGUGCUAUAUUGGCUUUGGGUUUGGCUUUUUUUGCUUCAAAUAUCUCAAUUCUCACUCAACAUACCAAUUCUUCCAACAAAGCGGUACAUCUUUCUCUCUUUAUCUUUCUUCUUCUUGAAUUCUUAAUAGUGCCCUUACAGUUUUUUGACUGCAAAAAUAA